CCAAUAGCGUAUAUUAAAGUUGUUGCAGUUAAAAAGCUCGUAGUUGAAUUUCGGGGUUAGUAGGUUGGUCAUGCCUCUGGUAUGUACUGGUCUCACUGAUUCCUCCUUCCUGAUGAGCCGUAAUGCCAUUAAUUUGGUGUUGCGGGGAAUUUGGACUGUUACUUUGAAAAAAUUAGAGUGUUUAAAGCAAGCUAACGCUUGAAUACAUUAGCAUGGAAUAAUGAAAUAGGACGUUCGAUCCUAUUUUGUUGGUUUCUAGGAUUGACGUAAUGAUUAAUAGGGAUAGUUGGGGGCAUUAGUAUUCAAUUGUCAGAGGUGAAGUUCUUGGAUUUAUUGAAGACUAACUACUGCGAAAGCAUUUGCCAAGGAUGUUUUCAUUAAUCAAGAACGAAAGUUAGGGGAUCGAAGACGAUCAGAUACCGUCGUAGUCUUAACCAUAAACUAUGCCGACUAGGGAUCGGAUGAUGUUAAUUUUUUAAUGACUCAUUCGGCGCCUUACG
This 500-nucleotide ribosomal RNA is filed under the name uncultured Glomeromycotina. Its description in RNAcentral is "partial small subunit ribosomal RNA". It matches the Rfam family "Eukaryotic small subunit ribosomal RNA", at positions 591 to 1092 of the family's 1831-position model. The record is from RNAcentral. Lineage: Eukaryota; Fungi; Glomeromycota.